GAUGAAUGCUGGCGGCGUGCCUAACACAUGCAAGUCGAGCGGCAGCGCGGGGUGCUUGCUCCCUGUCGGCGUGCGGCGCACGGCCGAGUAACGUGCAGGUAUUUGCCCCAAAGUGAGGACUAACCGCCCGAAAGGGUUGCCAAUGCCGCAUAUGGUCUUCGGAUCACAGGCUUUAUCCGCUUUGGGACUAGCCUGCGUUGGAUUGUGUUGUUGCUAGGGUAAUGGCCUACCAAGCCCACGAUCCAUAGCUGGUCUGUGAGUAUGAUCAGCCAGACUGGAACUGAGACACGAUCCAGACUCCUACGGAGCACAGCGGUGAAGAAUCUUCCACUAUGGGCGAAAGCCUGAUGGGGCAACGCCGCGUGAAGGAUGAAGGCCUUCGGGUUGUAAACUUCUUGUAUAAGUGAAGAAUAUGGCGGUAACUCAUAAAUAAGCACCGGCUAACUACGUG
Molecule: ribosomal RNA, 451 nt
Filed under: uncultured bacterium
Lineage: Bacteria
Description: partial 16S ribosomal RNA
Rfam family: Bacterial small subunit ribosomal RNA
Source: RNAcentral